This 3930-nucleotide long non-coding RNA is filed under the name Salmo salar (Atlantic salmon). RNAcentral describes it as "lncRNA (ENSSSAG00000086319.1, ENSSSAG00000101900.1)". Lineage: Eukaryota; Metazoa; Chordata; Actinopteri; Salmoniformes; Salmonidae. The record is from RNAcentral.
AUAAUGGAAAGCACUGCUAAAUAACCAAACAAUUUAGCAUGAAAUACAUCAGUAUUGCAUUGUUAUUACAAUUGAAUAUGGUUCCAUAGCCUAGGCUACUGUUGCUUCCAAGGUAAAUAUCCUAGACCUAGAAGAUCGCUCAACAUGUACCAAUAUCACAGUGAAAUGGUAAAAGAAACGACUCCUAAUUGGCUAAAUAUUGAUUGCCGUGAGUCAAAAAUGUUGGCUCAAGAACCCCUGGACUUCCCUGUCCAGGCGGCACGUGACAGGAGUUGCUCUCAAUGACCAGCGCAAUUGAUGUGAGCUAUUUGGAUGUGAAUCGCCAUUCUCCCACAAAGUAAAACAUUAAGAAUGGGUGUCCUCAAUGACAAUGAAUUUGUUUUCAGCGCUAGAUCAAUUGAGGUCUGCUUUCGUCUGCCUUGAAAUCUAUUCGCCAAUUGCAUUGCCUCGAGCCUUAGGAUAGGCUAUAAAAGUGGACUUCGUUUUUCAAGCAGUAUAAAGGCUAGCCUGCAUCAGUGAUGCUGGCAAACUCAGUUGUAGGCUAGUCUACCAUAACAAGUGACCAAAGAAUAUCUCCUGACCAUUCUCUGACAAAAUUAGGGACCAAAAGAGGACCAAACUAUGCGCUGCACUUGACGCGUAGGCUAAGCGAUAGGCUAUAUUACCAGAGAUGUCUAGGGGAGGAAGACAGCUUCAACUAGACAAAACAACUGAAAGAAGAAAGAAAAUGAAGAGGGAAAAAAUGAACAGAGUUUGUCUGUUUAUUUCCUCCACUGACUUUGCCUCAGAAACAGCGGAUCUGGAGGGACUAACUUCAAAAGAAAGGCAAGAGGGAGCUGGUGUGAAAUAUGAGCAGGAAGGAGAGAUUAGAAACAUGGGGUCUUCUGUUAAGGAACCAGAGACAGUAUCCACAGAAGCUAUGAGCGGAAGAGAGCAGCCUCACAAGAUCAUUAACACCACUUCUGGACUAUGCUGUGGACUGAGGAGAGACUGAGAGAGAGACGAGUGGAGGCAGGUCUGGGUCUGUGCUGAUAUACAGUACGCCCUGCAUCAUUUCUACAUGUACCACCAGCAGACUGAAUUAGAGCACUGCAUCAUCUCCAAUCAAUCAUCAUCCUCCCAGGCAACAAGGGACAAGGGUUGCUGCCUCCUCAUUCCGAACCAGACGUGGACCCAGUCGGUACUAGAUGUGGUGACCCCAUCUGGUGAAAAAAACCUGUGGUUACCCCAUUGGCUAACUGCAAAAACUGUGCUCACAGCAAAACAGAAAUGUGCUCAUUCCUAGUCAGUAAAAGAUAGAAAGUCGCCUGUGGGGAAUACAACCUGUAGUUACCUAGGUUACCCCAUUGGCUCACAGAAAAACUUGACCUUUUUCAAACGCAAUUUUCUUGUUGUCUGCUUGUUUUAGUCAAUUACAUAACUACAUUUAAGAAAAGUACAACAUGUCUAAAGAUGACUUUUCAACAUUACCUGCUCCUGAGCGUUCUCACUACUUAGAAAAACAUAAUAUUGUAGGCCUUCCCUCAUGCCUCUUUUCAUAACGAUGCUAACAGACACUUGAGUGAGUGAGUGCUAGCUAUCUACUGACCGGAACAUUAAGCUAGCUAAGACCAACAACACAAACAAACAGACUAUACAGCUACAAGUAGUGAGUGGAGUUACAAACAGACAGUACUAAACAAGUUAAAUGUCUUACCUGUGAUGACAUUUUUUCCACACACAAAGCUACGUGUAGCCUGAAGUGUGUGUGUGUGCACGCAAGUGUUAAACUUCAAGAACAUUGAUAAGAGGGAGUAGGCCUACUUAAACAUUGGGAGCAUUAAUAGCUGUAUGUUACAGUGACUUUUGUGUUGUUUAUGGUGAAAAUGCUAUUUAAACAUUCUGAUGAAGAUCAUUUUGUGUUGUUUAUGGUGAAAAUGCUAUUUAAACAUUCUGAUGAAGAUCAUUUUGUGUUGUUUAUGGUGAAAAUGCUAUUUAAACAUUCUGAUGUGGAUCCCUUUGUGUUGUUUAUGGUGAAAAUGCUAUUUAAACAUUCUGAUGAAGAUCAUUUUGUGUUGUUUAUGGUGAAAAUGCUAUUUAAACAUUCUGAUGUGGAUCCUUUUGUGUUGUUUAUGGUGAAAAUGCUAUUUAAACAUUCUGAUGUGGAUCCUUUUGUGUUGUUUAUGGUGAAAAUGCUAUUUAAACAUUCUGAUGUGGAUCCUUUUGUGUUGUUUAUGGUGAAAAUGCUAUUUAAACAUUCUGAUGUGGAUCCCUUUGUGUUGUUUAUGGUGAAAAUGCUAUUUAAACAUUCUGAUGAAGAUCAUUUUGUGUUGUUUAUGGUGAAAAUGCUAUUUAAACAUUCUGAUGUGGAUCCCUUUGUGUUGUUUAUGGUGAAAAUGCUAUUUAAACAUUCUGAUGAAGAUCAUUUUGUGUUGUUUAUGGUGAAAAUGCUAUUUAAACAUUCUGAUGUGGAUCCCUUUGUGUUGUUUAUGGUGAAAAUGCUAUUUAAACAUUCUGAUGUGGAUCCCUUUGUGUUGUUUAUGGUGAAAAUGCUAUUUAAACAUUCUGAUGUGGAUCCUUUUGUGUUGUUUAUGGUGCCAUUAAAAUCCUCUGAUGCAGAUUAUUUUAUGUUUCUUUCCCUUACAAUCAAAACAUAGCAUGCCUAUAACUCAAUGCACUGCUUUUUAAAUGGAAAAUUGUUUAUUUAGGGACAAAUUUGGGCAAAUUCUAAAUUGCAAUUAAGGGAUGCCAUUAAGUUAAUUCAUUAUUUUAAUCGUUUGACAGCACUAGUUUAUACUGUACCCUAGUGAGUUAGGAGAGGGGUUGACUAAUUUAAAAAAAUGACCAGUGAUUGUCGCUUUGACAGUGCAUUAUAAAACCUUUCAUUUAAACUUUUAGAUAUAAAGAUUUAUAGGCUGGAAAAAAACAAUGCCAAAAUAUCAAGUCAACCUUGAUAUUUUUGAAAAUGAUGUUUUAGUAUAAUUCUCAGAAAGGAUAAGCCUACCGAUUUAGAUGAGAUGUUGCUAUAUUGUACACUAAGUGUUCAAAACAUUAGGAACACCUGCUCUUUCCAUGACAUAGACUGACCAGGUGAAUCCAGGUGAAAUCUGUGAUCCCUUAUUGAUGUCACAUGUUAAAUCCACUUCAAUCAGUGUAGAUGAAGGGGAGAAGACAGGUUUAAGAAGGAUUAUUAAGCCUUGAGACAAUUGAGACAUGGAUUGUGUAUGUGUGCCAUCCAGAGGGUGAAUGGGCAAGACAAAAUAUUUAAGUGCCCUUGAACGGGGUAUGGUAGUAGCUGCUAGGCACACUGGUUUGAGUCAAGAACUGCAACGCUGCUGGGGAUUUCACACUCAACAGUUUCCCGUGUGUAUCAAGACGGUCCACCAUCCAAAGGACAUCCAGCCAACCAAUGAAUUGAGGCUGUUCUGCGGGUGCAACUCAAUAUUAGGAAGGUGUUCCUAAUGUUUUGUACACUCAUUGUAUACCAAACCUAGCUUGGUUUCUCAGGUUCUAUGUGGGGGAGUUUUUUAAUACAUAUCUUACAGGAAACCACCUAUUUAUAAUGAUAGAAUUGUAUGUCUUUCUCUUUUAAGUGUAUACUUGUUCAGAAUAUCUCAGAUUGAUGAUGUACUGCAUGUAAACAAAAACAUUUACAAUUGCAUUUGCAACAUUGCUGUUUUCCAACAAUAAAGAUUCCGAAACCUGUCUUUCUGUUGUUGUUGUUUAAAGUUAUUCUGACAUUUUCUGACUUGAAAAUGGAAACGCUUAGGAAUGGGAAUGGAAAUCAUACUUAUUGUUUUAAUCUAUGAGACUAUGACAAUUAUUUCACAAUAAAUACAGUAGAACACCAGUGGUAAUAGGGUUGGAAAAUAAAAUGUGAACUAUCCCUUUAAGUUAACACACAUAAUAUCAGCAAAACCUCCAAAAGGAUCCUGUUCACACACAUCGCAA